RNAcentral lists this ribosomal RNA (533 nucleotides) under uncultured bacterium. Its description in RNAcentral is "bacterial SSU rRNA". It matches the Rfam family "Bacterial small subunit ribosomal RNA", at positions 977 to 1509 of the family's 1533-position model. The record is from RNAcentral.
GGCCUUGACAUACUAAGAACUUUCCAGAGAUGGAUUGGUGCCUUCGGGAACUUAGAUACAGGUGCUGCAUGGCUGUCGUCAGCUCGUGUCGUGAGAUGUUGGGUUAAGUCCCGCAACGAGCGCAACCCUUUUCCUUAUUUGCCAGCGGGUAAUGCCGGGAACUUUAAGGACACUGCCAGUGACAAACUGGAGGAAGGCGGGGACGACGUCAAGUCAUCAUGGCCCUUACGGCCAGGGCUACACACGUGCUACAAUGGUCGGUACAAAGGGUUGCUACCUCGCGAGAGGAUGCUAAUCUCAAAAAGCCGAUCGUAGUCCGGAUCGCAGUCUGCAACUCGACUGCGUGAAGUCGGAAUCGCUAGUAAUCGCGGAUCAGAAUGCCGCGGUGAAUACGUUCCCGGGCCUUGUACACACCGCCCGUCACACCAUGGGAGUUUGUUGCACCAGAAGUAGGUAGUCUAACCGCAAGGAGGACGCUUACCACGGUGUGGCCGAUGACUGGGGUGAAGUCGUAACAAGGUAAGCGUAGAUGA